UGUAAUGUAGUUUAUAUAAAAUUUUCGUUUUACACGCGAUUGAACUCAGAUUGAGCUUUACUA
Molecule: transfer RNA, 63 nt
Filed under: Echinococcus canadensis
Lineage: Eukaryota; Metazoa; Platyhelminthes; Cestoda; Cyclophyllidea; Taeniidae
Description: tRNA-Val
Source: RNAcentral